AAAACAACCCAUUAAAUCAAACGAGUUAAAAACUUAGAAAAACAGUAAUCAAACCCAAAACCCAUCAAAAUUAUCUUACAAGGAACGAAAGAAAAUGAAAUCCAUCUACUACCGAGUAUAAUUCCAGUUAUAGAAAAAAAAAAAAAAAAACCAAUUUUAUAUGGAUGUAAAGAAGGUUAACCAAGUGGGUACCUGAGAAAAGUAGAAGAACAGCAGAUAGCUUGGGAUUCAGAGAAGCAUCGUGGAGGAGGAGUAGAGAAAUCAAAUGAUUGAAACAAGUGAUUCACUGAUUUUCAAUCUUCACUCUUUUGGGGAUCUGUGUAGUUACUAAUCUCGGAGAGAGAGAUGAAUGAUUGAGUGUGAUCUGAAAAUUCUGAUGCGGAAUCUGAUAAUAAUAAUAAGAAGAAGAAGAAGGAGCAGACGCAUCGGAAGAAGAGAAGAGGAGAGAUGAGGGUAUGGCGACGGACGGCUGCUACUUCCAUGCAAAAAGGCAUUUUGUAAAGACAUCCGUCCGCUUUUUCCGUCGCCUGUGGGACCCACUACUUCUUUUACUUUUCACCAUUCAGAAAUCGUCACCUUCUUCCUCUUUGCUUUCCGUUUUAUUUAUUUAUUUAUAAUAUUUCCAUCGACCGACUUGUCUAUUUCAGGUGUUUUUUUUUUAAAUCAUUUAUUUUUUUUUUCACCCAUUUAAUUUUUUUAAAAAAAUAAGCAAAAACCCAUUAAAUUAACUACUAAAUAAUAUUAUAAUUGGAAAUUAAUUUUAUAAAAAAAAUAUUUAAAAAUAUCUUCUUAGAAAUAAACAAUAAUUCUUGGGUGAAUAUUA
RNAcentral lists this long non-coding RNA (823 nucleotides) under Carica papaya (papaya). Its description in RNAcentral is "long non-coding RNA (CPAP_LNC013644)". The record is from RNAcentral. Lineage: Eukaryota; Viridiplantae; Streptophyta; Magnoliopsida; Brassicales; Caricaceae.